UGCCAAAGGUUCUCUGAGCGUACAUUCUAGAAGCAAGGAGCCUUGCUGAGAAGUGUGCCACUGGACCUACCCGUGCAGGUGGAGAGAGCCAGCCAGCCAAGUGUCAGUGCAAGAGGGGCUUCCCAUGCACUGUUUAGUGGGCAAAGCUUGCUGCAGCUGAGGAGAUCAUGGAAUUGGCAUCAUGAACCCAGGACGUGGAGAACUGAUGGAGGAAUGCAAUAGAUUAUGCCUAAACUUCUAUGUCUCUUCAGCACUCCAGAGAGUUCUACCACUAUGUGUAAAGCCUGAAGAAAGUACAGUUUCUCCUUGAUGAUGCUAGAAGGCCAAUAGAGUGCAAGAAGACAGAAGACCUCUGCUUUUAAUUUUAAUAUGUCCUCUAACAGCAGUUACUGAAAUCCUUUCUCACACUUACUAUUGAAGAACAGGACAUGCUUACUCACUUUAAGGUAUUUUGCAGUUGAGUUGCAAAUAAAAUUUAAUUCCUGCUUUUCAGUGGAGGUACAAUGCCAGUAAAUUUGGUCAGCAGAAUCAAACAGUUUGAGCCACAAACAGCUCCAGCUCAGUCACUGAGAGCAGAUUCCUUUCCUUGUUAAUCUCUUGAAUGCCUGCUUACAUGUGUGGGAAGUGUGGAAAUGGUAGCAGGCUUCAAAACAAAAAGUCUGGGAACUAGUUUACAUGUGCAAACUUCUUCUCUCCCACUGGCAGUGUCAGAAAUGGCUGAGCUGAUCAGGAUGAAAGCAUCAAAAAAGCAAAAAAAAAAAAAAGAAAGAAAAAAAAAAGCUCAAGCCAAGUGAAAGAAAGACUCAUAGAAGAUGUCAACAUAAAUGGGUAAAGUUUGAGCCAGAAAAAGCAGGGUGUUAAAAUAAGAGCGAUGCUGCAGUGUUAGUAUUCUGUGCUACCUGUAACUCCCUGAAUAACAGCACCAAAUAAUCAUGAUAGUAUUUUGUGUAUUUUAAGUACCAGUGAGAAUAAAGCUUUCUGCUAUAAUUUCUAUUAAUUCACACGAGUUUUCAUAACCUAGCUAUAGAACAAGUGAGGAGGAAUUGCUCAGCUCCUUUCCUUUAUUAUGAGCUAUGUUGUUUUGCUGGAGCUCAGAAGAGGUUUAAGAAUUAUAUCAUCAGAGAAGAAAAUCAAUUUUAUUGGUUGAUUUAUUUUUCUUUUAUACUUCACCUUUUAGGAGGCAAUUAUCUCUACUGCAUAAUUUCAUAUUUUUAAGCCAGCAUGUAAAUUAACUAUGAAGAUAUGUAGAUUCAUUUUGGAACAGACUCAAGCUUAUUCAUUUGUCAGAUGUGAUUAUAAUGUAUCUUAACAAGUUUAAUAA
This is a long non-coding RNA of Tympanuchus pallidicinctus (lesser prairie-chicken), 1321 nucleotides long. RefSeq lists it as uncharacterized. The transcript has 3 exons. NCBI's taxonomy places the organism in Eukaryota, Metazoa, Chordata, Aves, Galliformes, Phasianidae. The record is from RefSeq and is a predicted model, not a curated record.